UGCUCAUAAAAAACAGCAAGUACAGUGCACUUCUACCUUAAUAUUUCUUCCAAAUAUACUUUUAUGCUACAGUAUAUUGUUUAAUGCAGGUGGUGGUGAUUGUGGGGUCGGGGGGUGGGGGGUGGGGGGGGGGGUUGUUGACAUUCAACAAAAAUAAAAAAUAAAAGAACAAAAUUAUCACAUUGAAUGAUGUUUAUACUAUUGUUUGAUACAACUGAAUGAUGCAUUUUUAUAUGAAAAUAAACAAGCUGAAAACACUCUAGCUGAAAAACUUUUAGUGCUUUUCUAUGGAAUUUUCUAUGGAAUUAACCCUCAAAUGCCAACUUUACAUUGGAUUGGUUUCUUCUUUAAAUUAUAAAAAAAAAAGUGAAUGGUAUGGUAUAGUGUUAUACUAAAACUAAAAUUAAAAUGAUGGAAAACCAUUAAGAUAACAUGUAGAAAGAAAAAAAACCUGUACCUUAAGCACGCAGAAUAACAUAAGUGGAUUUUGAACGAUUAAUUGCCGCUUUGAACGAUUACGUAUUUGUGGCAUCCAUAAUUGUAAUUGCGAUUAAAAAUUUGAUUAAUUGUGCAGCCCUAGCACCUAAAGUCUAGUUUGUUCACCGUGAAACAUUGCGGAUUUGGAACUGGCUUAUCUCGAGUAAGCAAGAUUUCAGUUGAUCAACGAGAGUUCCUUGGAACACACCCCAGAGAGUAGAAUUGUGCUUUACAUAGAAUGUUGUUUAGAAGUUCAACUUUAGAACAGAAUAUUGUCUUUGUUUUUUUGGUUUGUAUGCAAUCUUUUAGCCCUGAUGAAGGCCUCUGUACCAAAUCAUGUUGGCAAAUAUAACUAUUAUUCUUUUUAGAUCCACUUUCUGAUUAUUUUACCACAAGUGUUGCUGGUAUUCCUUUAAAAAAUACCUUGAUGUGCAGACACUGUUUCACUGACAUGAAGGAGUUUUUCUCUCUGCUGGGGCUUCUAAAUUAUCUUGUAUAUGUUGAUAAGCAGCUGCUGCCUUGUGAAUAAGCACAUUGGACUGCUUCUGCUUGCAGUAGUCAGAUGCCUUUGCUUGGCAUCCCAUAUGAAAAAAGCUUAUCACCCUAACACAAAUUUGACUUACAGUGCUGCGAAUAACUCAGCUUCAUCUGUCAUACAGAAGGCAUCAUGGUGUCCUCAAGCAGUCUUUGGUGUAAUUGUUGACAUCAUAAUGGAAGUUUGUUGGGUUCUGAACCAGAAAGACACUCCAAAACUACAACAUCCAACCAUCAUGAUUCACAGUUGCUAUGAGGUUCUUUGCUUCUAACAUGUUUCGAGCUGUGGCCAAACAACUGUUCUUCAUGUUGAAAGACAAACUUCAGCACCGCCUUAACCCUGUGGUGCUCAUUUUUACAGAGAAAUUUUGUGAGAUGGCUGACCUGGACAGACCUGCUCUGAAAAAGUUUGCAGUUUCUUAUGUCAG
Long non-coding RNA from Cyprinus carpio carpio, 1439 nucleotides. The record is from Ensembl. NCBI's taxonomy places the organism in Eukaryota, Metazoa, Chordata, Actinopteri, Cypriniformes, Cyprinidae.